This 195-nucleotide unclassified non-coding RNA is filed under the name uncultured Umbelopsis. RNAcentral describes it as "sequence contains ITS2". The record is from RNAcentral. Lineage: Eukaryota; Fungi; Mucoromycota; Umbelopsidomycetes; Umbelopsidales; Umbelopsidaceae.
GCACUCUCACAUCUAACCUUUGGGUUCUAUUGUGGAAUUGGGAUGCGCCGAUUUUUACUAGUCGGCACUCCUAAAAUGUAGCUCUUGGCUGUUUCCUACUACAGCAGUUUGGCCUAAUAGUUUUGACUUUUGUCAAAUCUUUGGCUACAUUUGCUUUUGGAAAUCAGUCUUGAUAAUACAGAAAACUCAUUCAAA